CAGACACAGGGCCAAUUCAUGUGAGAUAAGCACGGCCCAUUCUGGGCGCACGUUCCUCUCCGCUGGGAGGGGACCCGACGGAGCUCCUGCUGCUUGGCCUUCUACCAGCACCCCCUCCCCGCCCCCAGGGCAGGCCCUCUGUGCGCCUGGCUCUCGCUGCUGCUCCGGGGAUGCUGAGUCAUGCAGGAAGAGAUCAGAGGCUGGGGCCCUUGGAGACUCCCACCACUGAACAGAGCACGAGUGCACGAACAGGAGGAGCAGCAGAGGGAGAAGCAGGCUCUCCACGGAGCAGGGCUCAUCAGUCCCAGGACCCCGGGAUCAUGACCGGAGCUGAAGGCCGACGCUUAAUCGACUGAGCCACCCAGGGCAGAAACCGGUUCUUUCAUUUUCCCUGAAAUUUCCCUGGAUUUCGCCAGCUCAGCCUCACGACGUGUGAGUCAAGAAGGCUUCCUUACUUCAGGAUUCCUCACGGUCUCUGCUACGCUGCUGGACACCACGGAGCUCUGAGAAGGAGUAUUGUUUGCACAUGUAUGUGACCAUUAAACCUCUAUGUCAUGGGUGUGGCAGGCGGAGUAAUGGCCUCCCAAAGAUGCCCAUGUCCUAAUCCAUGGAAACUUACACCGUAAAGGGAAUUAAGAUAGCAGAUGCAAGUAAGGUUGCUAAUCAACUGACCUCAAAAUACCGAGGUUAUCCUGGAUGGCGUAGGAAGGAUCAAUGUAAUCAAAAAGGUCUUUUUAUUAAAAAGUGGAAUUGGACGGCAGAAAAGGGUCAUUUUAAGAGUGAUACAGAAGGAACCCUCGUGUCCUGUUGGUGGGAAUGUAAAUUGGUGUAGCCACUGGAAAGCAGGUUCCUCAAAAAAUUAAAAACAGAGGGGCACCUGGGUGGCUCGGACAGUUAGGCUGACUCUUGACUUCAGUUCAGGUCAUGAUCUCAGGGUCAUGAGAUCAAGCCCUGCACUGGGCCCUGUGCUCAGUGGGGAGUGUACUGAGACUCUCUCCCUCUCCCUCCGCCCCUUUUCCCCCAUGUUCACACUCUCUUUCUCUCAAUAAUAAUAAUAAUAAUAAUAUCUGAAUCUUUUUUAAAAAAUUAAAAACAGAAAUACCAUGUAAUCCAAUAA
Molecule: long non-coding RNA, 1117 nt
Organism: Mustela lutreola (European mink)
Lineage: Eukaryota; Metazoa; Chordata; Mammalia; Carnivora; Mustelidae
Exons: 3
Source: RefSeq, a predicted model, not a curated record